RNAcentral lists this long non-coding RNA (2125 nucleotides) under Homo sapiens (human). RNAcentral's name for it is "HSALNT0150969". The record is from RNAcentral. Lineage: Eukaryota; Metazoa; Chordata; Mammalia; Primates; Hominidae.
GAGAGAAUCCCCUGGGGUGACUUUAAGACACAAUGUUCACCUGUCAUUUCUAGCUCAUCUGCAGAAUCCACUUGUGGUGCUUUUCACAUUCUCAGGUAGUCACAUUUCUUUUCUUGUGCCUUUCGUUUAUGAAAAAUGAAACACCCCACAGAAGGUGAACCCAGAACUCUUUAUAAAACGAAAUUCAGCGAGGUGCAGCUAGCAAAUGAAUAAUCUGCUUGCACUGCACUGCUUUCAAGCAGGCUUAAAAUAAAGCAGUUUAUAAGGCCCAAAUAGAAUUACAGUAUAACAGACUCAAAAUCCGUCUCUAAGCCCAGUGUUCAACCUAAGAGGGAAAAUUCCAGAAGGGCUGCAUGUUGAGCUGGCUCAAGGUCCGUGAAAUGCUCAAGAAAGAGAUCAUUUUCAGUACCUCCUUCCACAACCUCUCACUACUUGUUAGGUGCUUUAGCUUAUGAUCAUGCAGGGGACCUCAGAACUGAGAAUUCUUGCUAGGCACAAGGUUUAAGAAGGGAAUAUCUUAGUCUAAGUUUGAAUAUUUAAAUUAUUUUCCAGAAGUGCACUCAAAUCGGCCUACUGCAACUGAACAUAAUUCUUUAAGCUCAUGAUUGCCUAACCUGCUAAGUGCACACUCUAGCCCUCAGAGUUCCUUCCAGAUGAGCUAAGUGCUUUCCACAUGCAAAUUUCAUGAUUAGAGAUAGGCUUUUAAUGGAACAAUUCUGUAGCUCUAUGAUGUAUAAAAACACUGGAGAAGAGGGGACCACCUUCUUACAACCUGGGACCGUUGAAAGGUUGCCAACCUCUUUAGCAGAGAAAAGUCUAAAAUGCCAAAAAAAAAAAAAAAAAAAAAAAAUCACAGCUACUAGUGGUCACCUGCUUGAUUGAACCAAACACUCACUCCCUUUUUGUUCCGAAGUCCCCCUCCCAGACUAGGUCUGUUCAACUUAGGCCCUCCUAAUUAGAUGUCCUGCUUUUCAGAGCUCUCCACUCCAUCCACUCUGCAUGCCAUUGAAAGAUAAGUCUUUAAUCCAGUGCCUAAUUUCUCAUUGCUUUGUCAUGUGAGGUUUGCUUUCCUGACACAUUCAGAAUAUCUUGAAGACUGACCAGGAUCAUGAUUUAGACACUUUUUCCCCAAGCUCUUCAAGUUAUCCAGUAUAGUGCUUAUGAAUAGAGCAUGGAAUAUGUAAAUGAUAGAGGCCCAAGGGAAGCAGGAAGCUUCAAGAUGAGGCCUUUGGUCUUCACAGAGAGCAGAGGAGAUGUCUUAGUGAAAAAGAAAACAGCCAAAAGGAAAGUGAGUCAUCUGCUAAGAACCAUUCAUCCACUCAUCCACCAAAGACUUAAUGAGCAUGUGUCGUGAGGCAGAGUCACCCAAUACCAAAUAGAUUAUAUUCUCAUUCUAAGAACAGUAAGAAUUCCUAGCAUUUGAAGGUAUUCAUAAGACACCUUCCCUUUGCUCUUUUUAUGUUACAUGGAUUCUCAAGAAUAAAACUAGUGAUCACGGGAGAAAUGCAGUUACAGUUUGAUGUAAAUGAACCAGAAAGUGCUUGCUCUGAGCAGUUGCUCACAGAGAGAGGAAGCAUCUUAUUAACUUUGCUGAUGGCCCUUUCCAACAUUGUCCAGGGUGUGACACAUGAGCCGAUAAAGUGGAUAAAAGCAGAGUGAUGGCUCAAGAAGUGAGUUUAGACCAGGCCUGGGAUGAGCACCAGGCCCACACAUGUUCUCAUUAGUGGUCUCAAAAUUUCACCAGCUCCCUGAUAUGAAGAAUGCCUAGUUCAUACAAAUCACAUUGUGUAUAUUCUGAAUUUCAAGACAAACAUUUGCAUCUAACUUUCCUGUUGGCAAAGUAGACCAAGAUCAUUUUACAAAUGUGGGCUUCAUUCUCCAGGUGGUCUUUUGCUACUCUUCUAAAUUUCCAAAUUUAAAAAAUGCACAUAUUGUUAAGGUGAAACACUUGCAUUGAGUGGACACAACUACUGUUAACUUUUUUUUUUUUUGAGAUGGAGUUUCACUCUUGUUGCCCAGGCUGAGGUGCAAUGACAUGAUCUCGGCUCACUGCAACCUCUGCCUCCCGGGUUCAAGCAAGUCUCCUGCCUCAGCCUCCUAAGUAGCUGGGAUUACAGGCAUGUAC